This 3597-nucleotide long non-coding RNA is filed under the name Sus scrofa (pig). RNAcentral's name for it is "lncRNA (ENSSSCG00035031585.1)". The record is from RNAcentral. Lineage: Eukaryota; Metazoa; Chordata; Mammalia; Artiodactyla; Suidae.
AGUGCAUAUUACUGUCCUAACACCUUCCAUAAUCAUUUCUUGCAAUUCUCUUUUUACUUUCUGUACGCUAGUUCGACUCUGAUUCCUAAGAGAAGACAAGAGGCCUUUAUCUAGCAUGAACCUGGUGCAAGUUUAGAGAAAGAAUGACUUUUUUUUUUUUUAAUGCAGGGUAGGAAGGAAGCAAAGUAGAAGAGACAGAAGGAGGGAAAGCCUGUGCAUGACAACCACUACUCUUUUGACAAUUUAAUGUCCAGCUGUUCUGUCAUUCUACUGUGGUGAUGGCUCUUUUAAGGUUCUUGCAGUACCUUGAUGAGACCUCCCUCUUCUAUAUAAUGAAUGUAACCACAAUGUGUAAUGACAGAGGCAAAGCUUGGAGUGAUACGGCUAUUUACCACAGAAUGCCAAGAAUCAGUGUCUACCAGGGAAAGCUAGGUAAGAGUUUCAGAGGAAGCAUGGAUCAGGGGACACUGAUUUUGGACUUUUUGCCUUUAGAAUAGUAAGAAAAUAUAUGUCUGAAGUUUUAAGCCAAUAUUUUUGGUACUUUGUUGUAGCAGCUUUAGAGGCAUAUAUUUAGUCUAUACAGUCAAGUCAAACCUUGUAAAUAUAAAACAAAUAUCUGUAUUUUGGUUAACAGAUACAUCAUAGUAUACUUAUUUAAAGAAAACUUUCUUUGAUCUAGUAAGUCUGGGAAGUACAUAUUAUAUCUCUAUUUUGUGGAAUAUGAUGGAUAAUUUUAUGUGUCAGCUUGACCAGGCCAUGGGUACUCAGAUGUUUGAACAUUUUUCUGGGUAUGCCCAUGAGGGUAUUUUUGGAUCAGGUUACCUGAGAUUAACAUUUUUUUUUUUCUUUUUAUUUAGGGCCACACCUGCUACAUAUGGAAGUUCCUGGGCUGGAGUCAAGUUGGAGCUGCAGCUGCAGGCUUAUACCAUAGCCACAGCAACACCAGAUCCAAGCCACAUCUAUGGGCUACACUGCAGCUUGUGUGAAUGCCAGAUCCUUAAUCCACUGAGUGGAGCCAGGGAUCGAGCCCACAUCCUCAGGGACACUAUGUUGGGUAGCCACCAGGGGAACUCCUGAGAUUAACAUUUUGAUUGGUAAAAUAAAGAAGAUUGUCCUUCAUAAUGUGAGCAGGCCUCAUCUAAUCAGUUGGAAGCCUGAAUAGGACAAAUAGAAUGAUCCUUCCUUGAGUCAGAGUGGAAUUUCCAGCCGACUGCCUUCAGACUUCAUCUAUACCAUCGGCUCUCCUGGGUCUUAAGCCUGCUGGAACACUCUUCAGAUUUGAAUUUACUUCAUAAUUAUGUAAGCCAUAAUAUCUCACAAUAGAUAGAUGGAUAAAUCUAUACGCAUAAAACACAUCUUAUUGGUUCUCUUUCUCUGGAGAACUCUGAAUGAUAGAGAGAUUUAAGCUUAUUUUCAUAUAUUGACUAAAAAUUUCUACCAUAAAGUUACUUAUAUGACUUUGUUAAAACCACCUUUUUUGAAAUUUGACCAAUGAAAUGUAUAUUCAUUGAAUUCCUAUAAAAAUCACAUCCAAGUAGUUUUCACUUGGGAAAUGCACACACGUGUGUGUGUGUGUGUGUGUGUGUGUAUUCACAGCAUUGUGGUGUAGCUACAGGGACCUCGUAAAGCAUUUUUGUGAAAUUAAUACCCCAAGUAUUGUCGGCAAUACCUGCAGCUUCUCAAUUGCUACUCAAAAGCCACUACUGCCUGGAAGUGUGUACUAAUAGCGCUCUUCCAAUAACAGGAUUCCUGUUUCCUGGCCAGUCCAUAGUUCACUGAUCUAUUCUUUCUGACCAAGGUAUGAACUUAGAGUAUAAUUUCAGUUGCUUAUAUGAGAUAUUAGAAAUCAGGUCAUUCAAAGAACAAUCAGGACUAUGGACUCCAGAGAAGCCAACAGGUACAACUUAGUGGAGGUGAUAGCUGCGUAUGAAUUUUUGGUUAUUUCAACACAAUUAAUAGUUGGAAAUCUUUGAUUAAAAUAAGUAAUUAUAUGCAAAAUCAUGAAUGCAAAUGACAUGAAAGGCCACCGUGUUACUACUCAUAAAAAAUGGUCAAACUAAGUAGUAGUAUGCACAAAAUGAUUGGAUUUCAGUGGUUCCACAAAAACACAUUCAGUUGACGGAAAUGAGAAUUUUAUAGCAGUGAUAAAAUUGAAUAGGUUCUGUAUGCUGUCUUUUGAAGCAUGAAACCCAUUCAUAAUUAUUCUAUUGUUAACUGCCUUUUUUUUAUUGAUUCACUACUUCUGUCAGUUAAUUUUUUAUCUUCUCAAAAUUGACUUGUAUUACAUUUCUAAGAACAGACUUAAUAAUGUACCAUAAAAAUAUAUUUACAUGGUUUUAUAGGAUUAACUCUUGUGCUUCCUCAAAAACUUUUCUCUUUUUUCCCCCAGUGAUAUUAUUUUUUGAUAUUAUUUUUUUGCUUUGAUUAUUCACUAUAAGUGCAUAUCCUUUGCUUUGGGGAGAUUUCUGUUUUGAUUGAUUUCUGCUUUGAGAUAUGCAUCUUUCUACUAUCACAUUAAUCCUUUUGAUUAAGAGCUUAAUGGAAAGUGUGGAUAUUCUGACCUAGGUACAGCAACUACAAAGUAGUUUGGCAUUACAAAAUCAAACGAGAAACCAACAAAUCACCUCAAUGGUUUUCAUCUUCCAAAAGGCUAAGUGUGUAAAUCGUGAGAAGGUAGUAAGCUUAUGCACUUGAGAGAAUUAUAAAAAUUAAAGAGCGUAUUAGAAGAAAGUAGGUUGCAACUAGCUGAGACAAGUCUUUAAGAAAAAUUAAAGGGAGAGAUUUGAAAGUAUGAAUAAAUUAUGUCAUUACAUUUUGGUCCUAUGUACUCUUCUCUUUAAUUCUGAUAUUAAGUCUUGAAUUAGAUAACUAGUUUUAAUAUUGUUGAUUCUCACCAGGGUAUUUUCAAAAUGUCUAAGUAUUUAGGCUUAUUUUCCAAAUUAGUUACUUUCAAUGACUAAACAUUAAUUUAUUUUGGGGUACUUUUUUGUGACCCUCAUUGUUGCAAAUAUUAGAUAAUUAUUUUGAAUGUAUACUUUCUAAUGUCCAAGUCACUCCAUAAUGGAUAACGAAAUGACUAAUAGAAUAUCUCUAAUUAUUAAAUGCGAAAAGGAAAAUAUUCAAUGAGCUAUAAAUUACUGACCAUUGUUAUUACUUCCAGGAUAUAUUCAGCAUACAUGCACUCAAGUUUUAAUGUAUUAUGAUACACAAUUUUAUCCUUACUAAGAAAUUAUAAAGGAGCAAUAUUAUUUUUUAAUAAACUGUACAAAUAUAUUUAGGUAAUUUUUCAACAAAUUUAGUGGUUGUUUUAGUAUCAUCAAAAGUACUUUCAGGAGUUCCCGUCGUGGCGCAGUGGUUAACGAAUCCGACUAGGAACCAUGAGGUUGCAGGUUCGGUCCCUGCCCCUGCUCAGUGGGUUAACGAUCCGGCGUUGCGGUGAGCUGUGGUGUAGGUUGCAGAUGGCGGCUCGGAUCCUGCGUUGCUGUGGCUCUGGCAUAGGCCGGUUGCUACAGCUCCGAUUGGACCCCUAGCCUGGGAACCUCCAUGUGCCACGGGAGCGGCCCAAAGAAAUAGCAAAAAAAGACAAAAAAAAGUACU